This 484-nucleotide ribosomal RNA is filed under the name uncultured bacterium. Its description in RNAcentral is "partial 16S ribosomal RNA". It matches the Rfam family "Bacterial small subunit ribosomal RNA", at positions 28 to 507 of the family's 1533-position model. The record is from RNAcentral.
AUUGAACGCUGGCGGCAUGCUUUACACAUGCAAGUCGAACGGCAGCGCGGGCUUCGGCCUGGCGGCGAGUGGCGAACGGGUGAGUAAUACAUCGGAACGUGCCCAGUAGUGGGGGAUAGCUCGGCGAAAGCCGGAUUGAUACCGCAUACGACCUGAGGGUGCAAGCGGGGGAUCUUCGGACCUCGCGCCAUUGGAGCGGCCGAUGGCAGAUUAGCUAGUUGGUGGGGUAAAGGCCUACCAAGGGGACGAUCGGUAGCUGGUCUGAGAGGGAGACCAGCCACACUGGGACUGAGACACGGCCCAGACUCCUACGGGAGGCCGCAGUGGGGAAUUUUGGACGAUGGGCGAGAGCCUGAUCCAGCAAUGCCGCGUGUGUGAUGAAGGCCUUCGGGUUGUAAAGCACUUUUGGCGGGAACGAAAAGAACUGUGCUAAUACCACGGUUCGAUGACGGUACCCGGAGAAUAAGCACCGGCUAACUACGUG